UGCAAGUCGAACGCACUUUCGUUAAUUGAUUUUGAGAUGCUUGCAUCGAAGAUGAUUUUAACUAUAAAGUGAGUGGCGAACGGGUGAGUAACACGUGGGUAACCUGCCCAGAAGUGGGGGAUAACACCUGGAAACAGAUGCUAAUACCGCAUAACAAAAUUAACCGCAUGGUUGAUUUUUAAAAGAUGGCUUCGGCUAUCACUUCUGGAUGGACCCGCGGCGUAUUAGCUAGUUGGUGAGAUAAAGGCUCACCAAGGCAGUGAUACGUAGCCGACCUGAGAGGGUAAUCGGCCACAUUGGGACUGAGACACGGCCCAGACUCCUACGGGAGGCAGCAGUAGGGAAUCUUCCACAAUGGACGCAAGUCUGAUGGAGCAACGCCGCGUGAGUGAUGAAGGCUUUCGGGUCGUAAAACUCUGUUGUUGGAGAAGAACGUGUGUGAGAGUAACUGCUCAUGCAGUGACGGUAUCCAACCAGAAAGCCACGGCUAACUACGUGCCAGCAGCCGCGGUAAUACGUAGGUGGCAAGCGUUAUCCGGAUUUAUUGGGCGUAAAGCGAGCGCAGGCGGUCUUUUAAGUCUAAUGUGAAAGCCUUCGGCUUAACCGAAGAAGUGCAUUGGAAACUGGGAGACUUGAGUGCAGAAGAGGAGAGUGGAACUCCAUGUGUAGCGGUGAAAUGCGUAGAUAUAUGGAAGAAUACCAGUCGCGAAGGCGGCUCUCUGGUCUGCAACUGACGCUGAGGCUCGAAAGCAUGGGUAGCGAACAGGAUUAGAUACCCGGGUAGUCCAUGCCGUCAACGAUGAAUGCUAAGUGUUGGAGGGUUUCCGCGCUUCAGUGCUGCAGCUAACGCA
Molecule: ribosomal RNA, 851 nt
Filed under: Pediococcus ethanolidurans
Lineage: Bacteria; Bacillati; Bacillota; Bacilli; Lactobacillales; Lactobacillaceae
Description: bacterial SSU rRNA
Rfam family: Bacterial small subunit ribosomal RNA
Source: RNAcentral